RNAcentral lists this ribosomal RNA (253 nucleotides) under uncultured bacterium. Its description in RNAcentral is "partial 16S ribosomal RNA". It matches the Rfam family "Bacterial small subunit ribosomal RNA", at positions 524 to 776 of the family's 1533-position model. The record is from RNAcentral.
UACGUGGGGACCGAGCGUUGUCCGGAGUUACUGGGCGUAAAGGGCGUGCAGGUGGCUCGCUAAGCUUGGCGUGAAAGCCCCCGGCCCAACCGGGGAGGGUCGUCGAGGACUGGCGGGCUUGAGGGGCGCAGGGGUCGGUGGAAUUCCGGGUGUAGUGGUGAAAUGCGUAGAGAUCCGGAGGAACACCAGGGGCGAAGGCGGCCGACUGGGCGCACCCUGACACUGAGACGCGAAGGCGUGGGGAGCAAACAGG